CACGUGUUUAUUUGGUUUUAGGCAAAGUAGUAAAAAUAAGUUUAAGCUGAUCGUUUGAAACUUGAAAAUCUAAAAAAUCAUUUACCGAAAAGGGCUUCAAAUGAAUAUUCACAGAAAUAUAUUUUUUACAGAGUUAGGGCGCGAAGGAUCACCUUUGAACUUAAGGGUGAAAUUUCCCAAUACCGCUUGAAUCACCUGUGUUUAGAUCAUUCUGUCAGGUCAAUCUGUACAUAUAUAUUUAUAUUUAUUUUUCGAUAUAUCAUCAAUAAGUCUCAAACUCAAAGGGGGCGAAAUAUUUAUGGACACCAAUUAGGGGCUUAAAGUUCGUGUCCUUUUGGAAAGCAUUCCGCAGAUGUGAGGCACUGAAACAAUUUGUAAUCCGUUGUGUUAACAAUGUGACCCAUAAAUUUCCAUUGACCUCUAUACCCCCGUAAGACUAUCAGUGUGCCCAGUCGUCGUCAGAGGCCCAACAGUCUCCCGCCCUGCAGCGAGUGAAUUAUGCAAGUGGCGCGAUAAAAGCAAAGCCCGGCAAACUAAAUUUAUUGAUGCCAAGCGUUCAUUAGCAUCCAAAUGGGAAGGCCGCCAACUUGAAGUCGGAGAUGGAGCCGUACGCGAAUGAGAACGCGAACGAACUCAUUAAUAGCUCGAGACCCAGGCACAGCUAUUGCCACAGCCGCAGCCACAGCCACAGCCUCAGUCAUGCUCUCGACUGACAGCCCGGUCAAUGGGCGGGCCAUGGCGCUGAAUAAAUAACAAAGUGACAACCACAAAAAACAACCGCGCCGGUGAUGGAACAAAGCUUGACGCUAGAAACAGAACUUGGUGGAGAGGCGACAGCGACAGUCGCAGCAACGAGGGGAAGAACAACGGUAGUGGCAACAGUAACAGCAACAGCAAGACAAGAAAAAGUCCAAUAAUUGAGCUCACAAAUCACAGGACGGAGCAGGAGUCGCAGUCGGAGGCGUAUGUGGACCCAAAGCCAAAGCAUCAGCGCACCAAUGAACACGAACCAAGUAAAUUGAGAUUCUUUAAAUUUAUGCACAUAUUUUUUUCAGCAUCAGCCAGCGACUGUCGAACUCCAAAGUACAUGGAGCCACUUAAGCUCCUCGCUCUUAGCCCCAUUCUCACCGUCUGAGCCUCGGGUCGGCUCUCAAAGAACACCAGACGACUGCAGCAAAUCUGCAAACCACCCGACAACAGGCGCCCUCGAUAGCGCAGUUGGUUGGCUCUGGCUGGUUGGCCAUUUAGAUUGUUAGCCAGCUGGAUGCCGAUGUGGAUGUAGAUGUGUACAUGCAGUAUAUAUUGAUGGACCACAGCAAAUUGGCUGCUCGGUGCCUAUUACUGUGGGACAAAUGCGGCAAAAUAAUUUUAGUACCAUUUUUUUUUAAAUAUUAAAGGUACAACCCCUA
Long non-coding RNA from Drosophila virilis, 1409 nucleotides. RefSeq lists it as uncharacterized. The record is from RefSeq and is a predicted model, not a curated record. NCBI's taxonomy places the organism in Eukaryota, Metazoa, Arthropoda, Insecta, Diptera, Drosophilidae.